Molecule: long non-coding RNA, 678 nt
Organism: Nilaparvata lugens (brown planthopper)
Lineage: Eukaryota; Metazoa; Arthropoda; Insecta; Hemiptera; Delphacidae
Exons: 2
Source: RefSeq, a predicted model, not a curated record
GAGUCAUGUAGGCAAGGCGAGGAGGAGGGAGCUCGGAAAAUAGUAGUCGUUUAGGACAGACACCUGUUGUAGGCCGAUGGGCUGAUCUGAUUUUCAAUCAGAGGGAAAACUAUCAACUUGAUUUUCGUUCCGAUUGCGCUCUAAUAUAACUAGGAAUUUUCUAGACUGGUACGCUGCCUCAUCUUUAGACCCAAGAAUAGUUGAAGUCUGGUACAGUGGAUCUCAAAUUUCAAUUUAUUAGAAUUAUCCACGCUUUUGAAUAAAUACCCCGAGUAUCUCUCUACUCUUUACAUAAGAUUGAUUGAUUGAUAUGAAUAGUAGACAAUAUUUUAUAUUUUUAAGGAAUAAACUGAAAACCAAUGUAAUACACAAACUCAUUAACUAUUAAUACAAACUCAGACUAAAUAAUAUUAUGAAUAUGAGAAUUACGUGAGCUAACCAGUAGGCCUAUUUGUUAUAAUUUGUAAAAAAGGAGUUGCUCCCUUGCUAAAGAUUAUAUUUCUCUGUAAAUAAAAUACUACAAUCAAUAGUAGGUAAUAAUAAUAAUUCUUUUCAAUUUAUCAUAAUAUCAUGAAUUUAACAUACAUUCGUUAAAUAUUGAAAUUUUCAUGGAUUUUUGCAAUUAAAUAAUGCACUAGAUGGACGAUACAUGAGUAAAUAAAACAUAUUAUUUUCUUA